RNAcentral lists this ribosomal RNA (253 nucleotides) under uncultured bacterium. RNAcentral describes it as "partial 16S ribosomal RNA". It matches the Rfam family "Bacterial small subunit ribosomal RNA", at positions 524 to 776 of the family's 1533-position model. The record is from RNAcentral.
GACGAACCGUGCGAACGUUGUUCGGAAUCACUGGGCUUAAAGGGCGCGUAGGCGGGCUGUCAAGUCUGGGGUGAAAUGCCGCGGCUCAACCGUGGAACUGCCUUAGAUACUGACGGCCUCGAGGGAGGUAGGGGCGUGCGGAACUGUAGGUGGAGCGGUGAAAUGCGUUGAUAUCGAGAGGAACACCUGCGGCGAAGGCGGGUUGCUGGGCUGACACUGACGCUGAUGCGCGAAAGCCAGGGGAGCGAACGGG